CCUACGGGAGGCAGCAGUGAGGAAUAUUGGUCAAUGGACGAGAGUCUGAACCAGCCAAGUAGCGUGAAGGAUGACUGCCCUAUGGGUUGUAAACUUCUUUUAUAUGGGAAUAAAACGUUCCACGUGUGGGAUUUUGUAUGUACCAUAUGAAUAAGGAUCGGCUAACUCCGUGCCAGCAGCCGCGGUAAUACGGAGGAUCCGAUCGUUAUCCGGAUUUAUUGGGUUUAAAGGGAGCGUAGGUGGAGUGUUAAGUCAGUUGUGAAAGUUUGCGGCUCAACCGUAAAAUUGCAGUUGAAACUGGCAGUCUUGAGUACAGUAGAGGUGGGCGGAAUUCGUGGUGUAGCGGUGAAAUGCUUAGAUAUCACGAAGAACUCCGAUUGCGAAGGCAGUUCACUGGACUGCAACUGACACUGAGGCUCGAAAGUGUGGGUAUCAAACAGGAUUAGAUACCCGGGUAGUC
Molecule: ribosomal RNA, 460 nt
Filed under: uncultured bacterium
Lineage: Bacteria
Description: partial 16S ribosomal RNA
Rfam family: Bacterial small subunit ribosomal RNA
Source: RNAcentral